CCUACGGGCGGCUGCAGUGGGGAAUAUUGGACAAUGGGGGCAACCCUGAUCCAGCCAUGCCGCGUGUGUGAAGAAGGCCCUCGGGUUGUAAAGCACUUUCAGUGAGGAAGAACGCCUGGUGGUUAAUACCCAUCAGGAAAGACAUCACUCACAGAAGAAGCACCGGCUAACUCCGUGCCAGCAGCCGCGGUAAUACGGAGGGUGCGAGCGUUAAUCGGAAUUACUGGGCGUAAAGCGCGCGUAGGUGGCUUGAUAAGCCGGUUGUGAAAGCCCCGGGCUCAACCUGGGAACGGCAUCCGGAACUGUCAAGCUAGAGUGCAGGAGAGGAAGGUAGAAUUCCCGGUGUAGCGGUGAAAUGCGUAGAGAUCGGGAGGAAUACCAGUGGCGAAGGCGGCCUUCUGGACUGACACUGACACUGAGGUGCGAAAGCGUGGGUAGCAAACAGGAUUAGAUACCCUGGUAGUG
Molecule: ribosomal RNA, 465 nt
Filed under: Vreelandella stevensii
Lineage: Bacteria; Pseudomonadati; Pseudomonadota; Gammaproteobacteria; Oceanospirillales; Halomonadaceae
Description: partial 16S ribosomal RNA
Rfam family: Bacterial small subunit ribosomal RNA
Source: RNAcentral